This 327-nucleotide ribosomal RNA is filed under the name Acinetobacter junii. Its description in RNAcentral is "bacterial SSU rRNA". It matches the Rfam family "Bacterial small subunit ribosomal RNA", at positions 440 to 758 of the family's 1533-position model. The record is from RNAcentral. Lineage: Bacteria; Pseudomonadati; Pseudomonadota; Gammaproteobacteria; Moraxellales; Moraxellaceae.
CGAGGAGGAGGCUACUAGUAUUAAUACUACUGGAUAGUGGACGUUACUCGCAGAAUAAGCACCGGCUAACUCUGUGCCAGCAGCCGCGGUAAUACAGAGGGUGCGAGCGUUAAUCGGAUUUACUGGGCGUAAAGCGUGCGUAGGCGGCUUUUUAAGUCGGAUGUGAAAUCCCCGAGCUUAACUUGGGAAUUGCAUUCGAUACUGGGAAGCUAGAGUAUGGGAGAGGAUGGUAGAAUUCCAGGUGUAGCGGUGAAAUGCGUAGAGAUCUGGAGGAAUACCGAUGGCGAAGGCAGCCAUCUGGCCUAAUACUGACGCUGAGGUACGAAA